UGGUUACCCGCCCGUGGACGUAGAUCAGUUUAGACCAAACCACGUCAAUCUUUUAUAUUCUUGAUUGUGGUAGAUUAUGUGAGAGCGUUCGAUCCUAACAGAAAACCUUAUGCUAGGAGACAACUUCUAUUUCAUGUCUCAAUUAACUGAGCCUACAAAGGAAGUGGUUCCAUUCGUGAGAACACCACCGCCAUUGUAGCAUAAUGCACAAACCGAAUCAAAUAGUCCUUCAACUUCAUCAUCAUUGAGGUAAUCUUCGUCAUAAGAAGCAAUGAUUUCGGGCUUCUUUGUUGUUACAUCAGCCUUCAAUUCAAAACAAAAACAUAAAAGUAUGUUGUAUGGAUAUAAAAUCUAAAUAUAAAUUAGUAAGUAUUGUAAAAAAAUUGCCAUUCACAUCAUGAAGAACGUAUAGUCACCGAAUGGCGUUGAUGACCUGACCUGGCCCGUCACCAAUUCCAGAGGAAACCCACCGCAUUGAUGGUAAAACCCCUCCCCUAGAGAAAGUCGCCGCCGGGUACCACUAGAGCACUGUCCCUUUGGUUGUUUUGAUCUGAUUUAUGUUUAUAUCUUAGAUCUGUGCUUAUUUGGGGAGAAUUUGAUAUGGGUAAAGUGGUACAGAAGAAUUUUGUUUUGAGAACAAGGAACCGACGGCUGCAUCGAGCUCGUCGUGGCAUUGUUCUGCCUAAGUCGCCUCGGGUUUCUAGUCCUACUGCCACAUUACCGCGUCAUUGGUAUGGUUAUGUCUAUCCGCUUGUGUCGUUGAUAUCGGGUGCUCAUCUUGCAAAUUAUAUGUUGAUUUAUUUAAGUGGAUUGCAUUUGUAAAGUGUAGUAAGUAAUAACUUGUGUAUCUUAUGACAAACUUUUGAUGGAUUAUGUAGCAAGUGAAGUGAGGUGUUGGAGAAUUAGGGUUUGGAUCUUUUAAAUAGGAUUGAUCACUACAAUGAAUUUAAUUCCAUGUUGGUGCAUGCAGGGUUUAUGUGCUU
Molecule: long non-coding RNA, 983 nt
Organism: Helianthus annuus (common sunflower)
Lineage: Eukaryota; Viridiplantae; Streptophyta; Magnoliopsida; Asterales; Asteraceae
Exons: 2
Source: RefSeq, a predicted model, not a curated record